Molecule: long non-coding RNA, 4028 nt
Filed under: Nicotiana benthamiana
Lineage: Eukaryota; Viridiplantae; Streptophyta; Magnoliopsida; Solanales; Solanaceae
Description: long non-coding RNA (NBEN_LNC026076)
Source: RNAcentral
GAGCAACUAGAGUAAUACAAAUAAUGGUCUGAAUGAAAGCAUAACUGUAUGAAUGAAAUCAAAAGCUAGAUUAAUGUAGGAGGGGACUACAAGAUUGAGAAAGACGUGCAGCUGACCUACAAUCUUCGUCAAGCAAUCCAUCCAAGCAAUCUACUGACCGCCGCUAGGAUCAAUUCCGAAAUCUACACAAGAAGUGCAUAAUGUAGUAUGAGUACAACUGAACCCUAUGUACUCUAUGAGCGUCGAGCCUAACUCUACAAAGUAGUAACAAGGCUAAGGCGGAUUACUUACAAUAACCUGUACGCAAAUAGGAAAGGAAGACAGGAAAUGACGACAAAGCAAUUACCUAAUAAAAACAACCUCAAUCCUCGAAAUUAGUGAAUCCAAAAAUAUUAGUCCUCAAAAUCUCAGAUGAAGAUAUUGUAACCUAACACAAUACAACAAUAAAUACAAAACAUACAAUCCGUUACGGCGCACAACCCGAUCCUACCAUACAAACAAAAUCCUCGUUUAUGUCACCAUAUUAAUAUCAAGAAUAAUAUAUCAAAUAUGUUACAGCAGACAAUCUAAUCCCACCAUAUCAAUAUCAAAAUCUUCUCUUAUUUCACCAUAUCAAUAUCAUAACUACAUAUAAAAUCUAUUAUGUCGCGCAACCCGAUCCUACCAUAUCAAUGCCAAAUCAUUCCUUGUUUUACUAUAUCACAAUCAUUGCAGCGUGCAACCUGGUCCAUAAAAAAAUUCAAUAAAUGUGUUCAAUCCAACAAGUCAAUUCACAAGAACUUCUAAAAUUAAAGAAUAUGAAAGUAAACAAUAAAGGAAUCCUAUACCAAAUUAAAAAAAAAAAAGCUAUAAUUACUUCAAAACAAUAAGAUAAGCCAAAUAUAUAAUAGUUAAAAUGUACAAAUAAGACAAAUAAGGAAAGUAGCAUUCAAUCAUAGAAUUAUAGAAGAAACUAAUAAUUCAAUACAAGAAUAACUAAAACAAGCAACAAGUUACGACAUAGGAAGCAAUUAAAGCAUGUAACAGUUGACAUGGAAUAAGAUAACUAAUGAAAUACGGGAAAGCAUGAAAAUAUUAUGUUGACAGCGUAUAUAUACUCAUCACCUCGCAUAUAUAUUGUUCCACAUGUAAUUCACAUAAAAUUAUAGUUGAAGGGUUCCUAAUUGCCUCAAAAUCAAGGUUAGACCCAACACUUACCUUGCUCCGCAAGCAAAUUAAAGCUCAAUCGGGGCCUUUCCUCUAAAAUACUCCUCCAAACCAAUCGAAUCUAACCAAAGUUGACAUAAUAUUAGUAAAUAAUGCUAGAAAAAUUACAAUACAUAAGAUUAAGAUCUUUACACUUUUCCCGAAAAGUCAACCACAGGCUUGCUUGGUCAAAACCCGAGAUUCAAAUCAAAAUCCAAUUACCCAUUUAUCCCGAGCCCGAUUAUGCAAUUAGUUGCAAAAUCAUACCUCAGUUUUAGGUCUAAAUCUAAAUUUUAAGAAAACCCCCUCAAUUAUACCUAAAAUCCUAAUUUUCUACUAUGAAAAAGCAUAGUUUAAUGUUAUAAAUCAACAGGUGUUGAUGUAAAUGUAAGAAAUUAAUUUAAAGUAUACUUAGCUACGAAGUAGGGAUAGAAUAUCUCUUCAAAAUAUCCUCUAGGUCGAGCUCUAAUACGAGGAUAAUGAAAAAUGAAGAAAAUUCCGAUUUUUAGAAGUUCAAAAGACCGGGCAUCAGGUGUUCAUCACGUUCGCAAGACACCUGACGUUUUCGCGAAGAAGCAACGACCAAAGACGUGAGGUGUUGCACGCAUACGCCAUGGUCUCCCUCCCCUUGCGUUUGCGGGCCUAGGCUCACGUUUGCAUAGAACAAACCCCUGCUCCCCUGCCAGACCCAUUACUCGUUGUGUUCAUGUAGUGUUGGUCGCGUUCGCGAAAGGGAGAUCCCACCAUUGCUUCGCAUUUGCAUUCACAGCCUCGCGUCGCAUAGAGGAAAACCCACCCCGGCCUAGACUACUCUUCCUCAUCGUGGGAGUAUCGCGAAGAAGGAUUUACCAGAUAUCAGCAGACUUAAAAACCAUUAAUAAUCUAGGUCCAAAAAUCACUCUGUAGCCUAUUCGAAACUCACCGAACCUCUCAAGUUCCAAACAAUACAUGCACACAAGUGUAAUAAUAUCAUACAAACUUACUCGCACGAUCAAAACCUCAAAAUAACACCUACAACUACGAAUUGGACAUCAAAGUGAAUAAUAUUUUCAAAGAAACUCAAGAACAUGCAAUUUUGCAACCGAACGUCCAAAUCACGUCAAAUCAACUAUGUUUUGCACCAUGCACUAAACUUUGUAGACAAGUCAUAAAUACUAUCAUGAACUUAUACCAAGUUCCGAAACCGAAAUCUGAAUCUGGCAGCAACAAAGUCAAACUUAGAAAUUCUUUUAGCCUUCAAUUUACUAUUUUUCAACAAGUUAUGAUAAUUCAAGUUAUGGACUUCCCAAUUCGAUUCCGGACAUAUACCCAAGUCUCAAAUCAUGAAAAGAACCCACCGGGACCAUUAAAUAUUGAUUCGGGUCCUAUAAUACAAAAUGUUGACCUAGUCAACUUAAAUGAAUUUUAAGGCAAAAUUUCAUAUUUUCUUCAAUUAUUUUCACUCAAAAGAUUUUCUGAAAAAAAAAAAACACAAACUGUGCCUGCAAAUCUAAGAAGAUGAAACGGAACUAUUCAAGGUCUCGAAAAACAGAAUAAGAGUUAAACUGAAAAUGACUUAUGGGUCAUCACACUUUCAAGAAAAUAUUUUCCAACGUACCAAGCACAUCCUUACAUUUCGUACACUUUCUCUAACGUUUUGACUUGAUGAAGUUUAGUUUCGAACGUAAUUCGUUAAAAGAAACAAAUUUCGAAGUAUUCAUGCUGAUCUCAUUCAUUUUCAUGUAGAGCUAGUCCAUUAUCUCCAACGAGUUAUAAAUAUAUGGAAACAGAGUGUCUUAAUAUUUUACUGCUGCAAAAGCUAUAAGCAUAAUUUAGGCAAAAUUAUUGCUGAACAUGCACCUAGAAAAGUAAGGUCUCUCUUAAGUUCUAUCCAUAUAGUGUUCUCAGAAGAAAAAAAACCAAAAAACUUUCCCCCUAAUUAGCUGACUUCUAAAGCAACAAAGAGCCAUUUAUUUAAUAAUAAUGAAGAUUUAGACUAAAACUUUGCGUAUCACAAGAAGGAAUGAAAGGAGGCACCCCUUUUCCUAUUACCUUCCAAAUCAUCUGUCCUCUCAUGAGAAUUUUCUUAUUCAAUGACAAAAAAAUAUUCCUUCUUUAAUUCUCUGCAUCGUCCAAUUUGCCUUAUUGAGAAAGAAUACUAUUAUUGUAUCUCUCUUUUUAUGUAUCUCUCUCUAGAUCGUAAAUUGAGAAAGAAUACUAUUAUUCUUAACCCAAAAAAGGAUUGAAACAUUAAUACGAUCCUAAAAUGAAUUGUUGAUAAAAUUUUAACUAAUAAUAAAUUAAAAAUCAUAAAUUAAAAAGGAUAUUUCAAGAGAGAUUAAAUAUAUUAGAUGUAUUAGAAUUUUAAAAAAUUAUUAGAAUGAAAUAAAUAUGAAAAUUAUUAAUAACUUUACGUAUAAAAAGUCAAGAAAAUUGAAUUUCAAAUAAAAUUACAAAUGAAGUUUUUUUUUUCUAACAAAAAACUUAAGGUGUCUUAUUGAAGUUUUGCUCUAGGUCAUCAUAUUUAUUGAGCCUCCAUCUCAACAGAAAAUAUAACAUUUAACAUAAUAAAACAAAAAAAAAGUAAAAUCAGACAUUCAAACUAGACUAUCACCUGUUUAAGAAGAGGAAACUGUACUGUCCCGGCUGGCCACUUAGCAGGCGCGGAGCUAUAAGCUAGCCGACCCCAACUCACUGCCAGUCUUCUUUGAUGGCCGAGGCCCGAGAGUAUUAUGUAAAAAGGAUCGAUGAGCAUCUAAUCCGAAAGGAAUUCUCAUCUUAUAUUCAAGUUUGACUUUAGUUAUGGUAUUUGUAGUAAGAUGGCUUUGGCUCUUGUGAUUUACCUUAAUAAUGGGGUGUUGCGG